AGCAGAAAAUAUAAUAUGAGUAAAUUAAGGCACCCGAAUCAAAUUUGUACAGAAGUUGUACUCAAGUAUCAUCUUUUUCAACAAAGCUUAUAUAAGAAAGCGUCAUAAGAAAAAACAUAAAAUGCGAGUGACAUAAGAAGGUGAGUAACAUGAGAAAAUUUAAUUCAAGUAGCACCAAAUGUCCAACCAAGCUAGUCCAUUUGUCACCAAGUCAGAUAGUCAUCUCCAUGCACACAUCUAGACAGACAAUCAAAAAUAAAACAAUAUACUUUCUUUUUUUACCAAGAACUUCGUCACUAGAAUAAAUUAUGGUUUAACUCCUUUUCAGAAGCAAUGUUGGAGGGAAAAAAACUACUUUGCAUAAGCUUCAUAUAGGCACUGCAUUUGCAUUUUGUUUCUCAAUCAAUAAUUGCUUCCACCAAGAGCUCUGCAAGUAAACAAGGAAAAACAUUAGCAUCUAGAGACAUACAAGUAAACAUGAAUGUGUAUGGUUCUAAAAAACAAACAUGAAUGUGUAUGGUUCUAAAAAAACAAGUGUAUGGUUCUAAUACAAACAUGAAUGUGUAUGGUUCUAAAAAAUAAGUUUUAAUACCAACAAGCAGUUUACAAGACAUAUGUUAUGGUUCUAAUACAAACAUGAAAUUUCAGAUACAAAGCAGUUUUGUACAAGUGUUAAAAAACAAGUGUUAAAAGUUUGAAGGAAAUUAAAUUAAACUAGCAAAGAAAUAUUAAAUGACACAACAACCAAGAAAAGAAAGGUUCAGAGAAGUGGAAAUGGCUAAAUCGAUGACUGGCUCAUGAACUGUGAAGGCACACCAAUAUCUCCAAGUACUGAUCACUAUCCUAUGCUUGAAGUGAAGGCACAAUAUCUCCAAGUACUGGUCACUAUCCUAUGCUUGAAGCAGCAACCACAGAUUCAAAUCCUAUCAGUUUGUUCCAUCUCAAUCUUUCCAAACCACUGAAUAUUUAAAACCCCAAACAAAAACACAGUAGUAGAUGAUCACCAGGUUGUUGUCAAGAAUUCAUGUCAGAACAAAAAAAGCAAGUUCAAAUAAUAUACCUGCAUACAAUGGCUGCAGGUGCAUUGUUCUUCUCAAUUCAAUGCUUCCACCAAACAUAAACCAUACUUAUGCCAAGGAUGCAGCCAUUUCAGAAUCUAAAGUGUCCAGGUCAUGCAGGUCAUUUCAGAAUCUAUAUUCUCAGCAAGAACUGUAACUAAACUGCAUAAAGGGCAGCAGAUAGUCUAUAUGGUGAACAAGGAUUAAAUAAAAACAGCAAAGUUAAGAACAAGGACCAAUUGGUCAUAUAGUGCUGAAAUAAAAUGAUGGACAACUAAGCAUUACCUAAUCUAGUAUUCAAGCUAGUAUUCAAAAUGGUCAUAUGGCCCAUACCUCCUUGAAACAAAAUGGAUGCAAACUAGUAUUCAAGCUAGCAGUUCAAUACCUGUUAACUAUAUCUAACAAGCUUAAGGCCUUAAGCAUUUAAUUAGAACAUAGCUACAAAGAAAACAUGCCACCGAACAAACAAGAAGCACAAUCAAUCGGUAUUGCAUCAGUCUCAUUCCAAAUUGAGCCAAACAAAAAUUAUUUAUCAGCAAACAUGUCCACAGAAAACAAUUGCCAUCUAAUUACAGGAAACUCUGAUCUUCUACGACAGGGAAUACAAACAGAGCAAACUGUGUCAUGACUAAAAUCUAAAACUGCUAUGCAAUCUUAGACCUAUGCUGGUGACACAGUGGUUCCUGCAUGGCAAUACAUUUAUACAAAGAAUGGCACACGGAAGCUUGAAAAUACAAACAUUUGGCAAAUGACAGCAGGCAUAUAGUCAAUACCCAUCAGGCCAACCCUACCAACUAUUUACACAAAAGGUCUAGGAGUUCUCCACUAACCUGAAAUGUCUUCAGCUAACUAAGAUGUCAACUAUCAAAGGCAACGCCUGAUAUGUCAACUAAGCAGUAGAAUUUCAGUGACCCAGCAACAGUAAACACAACGAAUAAUGUUAGUAGCUGGAGGCAUAGCUAAAGUUUCAGAAACUGCACAGAACUCUAGUUUGACAAGUAGAAUAAAAAACUGAUAAGAUGCAAAUGCACUACAC
Molecule: long non-coding RNA, 2094 nt
Filed under: Sorghum bicolor (sorghum)
Lineage: Eukaryota; Viridiplantae; Streptophyta; Magnoliopsida; Poales; Poaceae
Description: long non-coding RNA (SBIC_LNC001472)
Source: RNAcentral